Molecule: ribosomal RNA, 1344 nt
Filed under: Escherichia coli
Lineage: Bacteria; Pseudomonadati; Pseudomonadota; Gammaproteobacteria; Enterobacterales; Enterobacteriaceae
Description: partial 23S ribosomal RNA
Rfam family: Bacterial large subunit ribosomal RNA
Source: RNAcentral
GGGUUGUGAGGUUAAGCGACUAAGCGUACACGGUGGAUGCCCUGGCAGUCAGAGGCGAUGAAGGACGUGCUAAUCUGCGAUAAGCGUCGGUAAGGUGAUAUGAACCGUUAUAACCGGCGAUUUCCGAAUGGGGAAACCCAGUGUGAUUCGUCACACUAUCAUUAACUGAAUCCAUAGGUUAAUGAGGCGAACCGGGGGAACUGAAACAUCUAAGUACCCCGAGGAAAAGAAAUCAACCGAGAUUCCCCCAGUAGCGGCGAGCGAACGGGGAGCAGCCCAGAGCCUGAAUCAGUGUGUGUGUUAGUGGAAGCGUCUGGAAAGGCGUGCGAUACAGGGUGACAGCCCCGUACACAAAAAUGCACAUAUUGUGAGCUCGAUGAGUAGGGCGGGACACGUGGUAUCCUGUCUGAAUAUGGGGGGACCAUCCUCCAAGGCUAAAUACUCCUGACUGACCGAUAGUGAACCAGUACCGUGAGGGAAAGGCGAAAAGAACCCCGGCGAGGGGAGUGAAAAAGAACCUGAAACCGUGUACGUACAAGCAGUGGGAGCACGCUUAGGCGUGUGACUGCGUACCUUUUGUAUAAUGGGUCAGCGACUUAUAUUCUGUAGCAAGGUUAACCGAAUAGGGGAGCCGAAGGGAAACCGAGUCUUAACUGGGCGUUAAGUUGCAGGGUAUAGACCCGAAACCCGGUGAUCUAGCCAUGGGCAGGUUGAAGGUUGGGUAACACUAACUGGAGGACCGAACCGACUAAUGUUGAAAAAUUAGCGGAUGACUUGUGGCUGGGGGUGAAAGGCCAAUCAAACCGGGAGAUAGCUGGUUCUCCCCGAAAGCUAUUUAGGUAGCGCCUCGUGAAUUCAUCUCCGGGGGUAGAGCACUGUUUCGGCAAGGGGGUCAUCCCGACUUACCAACCCGAUGCAAACUGCGAAUACCGGAGAAUGUUAUCACGGGAGACACACGGCGGGUGCUAACGUCCGUCGUGAAGAGGGAAACAACCCAGACCGCCAGCUAAGGUCCCAAAGUCAUGGUUAAGUGGGAAACGAUGUGGGAAGGCCCAGACAGCCAGGAUGUUGGCUUAGAAGCAGCCAUCAUUUAAAGAAAGCGUAAUAGCUCACUGGUCGAGUCGGCCUGCGCGGAAGAUGUAACGGGGCUAAACCAUGCACCGAAGCUGCGGCAGCGACGCUGAUGCGUUGUUGGGUAGGGGAGCGUUCUGUAAGCCUGCGAAGGUGUGCUGUGAGGCAUGCUGGAGGUAUCAGAAGUGCGAAUGCUGACAUAAGUAACGAUAAAGCGGGUGAAAAGCCCGCUCGCCGGAAGACCAAGGGUUCCUGUCCAACGUUAAUCGGGGC